RNAcentral lists this long non-coding RNA (11750 nucleotides) under Carica papaya (papaya). Its description in RNAcentral is "long non-coding RNA (CPAP_LNC009526)". Lineage: Eukaryota; Viridiplantae; Streptophyta; Magnoliopsida; Brassicales; Caricaceae. The record is from RNAcentral.
AUAGUGAGAUUUUCCUGGAAAGUUUUCGUUUUUUCCUUCAAAAUAGACAGACGGGAGCUAUGCCAAUAAUCCCCCAAAUUCCACUAUUGCCUGCUCUCUAUUAUCCUCCAUGGAAACUCUGAGCUUGCCUCAGAACAUACAGUAAGAGUAAACGAGGAAAUGGAUUCCCUCAGCUCUACUUUCGUCUCCAACACACUCCAACUCCUCCCUUUACCCACCCUCCCUAAACUCCCCUCAACAACCCACAAAGCCCCCAUCAGCUCUCUUCCUCUUCCUCUNNNNNNNNNNNNNNNNNNNNNNNNNNNNNNNNNNNNNNNNNNNNNNNNNNNNNNNNNNNNNNNNNNNNNNNNNNNNNNNNNNNNNNNNNNNNNNNNNNNNNNNNNNUGAGGUUAUCUAUGGUUUGCUCAUUAGAAUAUAUGGAAGACUUAGUCUUUAUGAGGAUGCUGAGAGAGCAUUUGAAGAAGUUAAGCAGCUAGGCCUGCUUAGUGAUGAGAAAACAUAUUUAUCUAUGGCACAAGUUUAUUUGAACUCAAGAAAUGUUGAUAAAGCACUAGAGAUUAUUGAACUAAUGAAGUUUAGAAACAUUAGGUUCUCAAGAUUUGGUUAUAUUGUUUCAUUACAGUGUUACGUGAUGAAAAGAGAUACGGGGUCUGCUGAGUAUGCAUUUCAGGUUUUAUCAAAGACUGGGCUUCCUGAUACUGUUUCUUGUAGUGACAUGCUCAAUUUAUAUCUUGAACUGGGCUUAAUAGAAAAGGCAAAGGAGUUUAUUACUCAGGUAAAGAAGGAUGGGAUAGAAUUUGAUGAUGAGCUUUACAAAACAGUUAUUAGAGUAUACUGCAAGGAGGGAAUGCUAAGGGAUGCUGAGCAGUUGAUAGAAGAGAUGGGCAGAAACCAAUCAUUUAAAAAUGAAAAAUUCAAUCAAACACUCAUGAAGUGUAUGCAUGGACAAUAUAUUGGACAAAAGAAAUUCGAAGGUCCCGCUAAGACCCUUGACCAACCCGAUACUGAGGCCCUUGGCUUGAUGCUCAAUCUUUGUUUGGCAUACUGCAAUUUGGAUAAGGCAGAAGAAAUAUUGAAACUUUUGCUCAAGACUGCUAGUGGUUUCUCGGCGGUUAGUCAACUCAUUAGCAGCUUCGAUAGGGAAGGUAUGGAAUCAUCUUCUUUAUGUAUUUCCAUUUAGAUGUUAUUUAGAUGAAGGAAAUUUAGAAGCUACUCGGUUCCUUGAGGCUGAUUUUGAUUUCUGUGUAGGUGAUAUAUCUAAAGCUAAAACUCUUAGAAGUAUGAUUAUGAAGAUGGCAUCCAUAUUAGAGGAUGAAACAAUUGCUUCAUUGAUUGGUUUCUACGGGAAGCAACAGAAGCUAAAACAUGCCAAAGAUCUCUUUAUGGCAGUGAGAGGUUCUUCAUCUGGCAAGAUUAUAUGUAAUGCAAUGAUUGAUGCAUAUGCAAAAUGUGGUAAACCUGAGGAGGCAUACAAGCUUUAUAAAGAAUCAACUGAGAAAGGCCAUGUUCUCGGUGCUGUUUCCAUCAGCAUCGUCGUGAAUUCUUUGACUAACAGUGGUACGAGUUUCUUCUGUUCCUUUCUGAAUUUAUUAGUUAUCCCAGAACAAUAUUAAUGUUCCGUAAUCGUCCAUUCUCAAGAAAAUAUUCGAUGAACUUUUAUUUAAGAAUCAUUGCCGCUUCCUAGUAUCUAGAUAUUUAUCUUAACCUAUUUUUCUUGUAACAAGAGAUGAUGUCAAGCAUGUUAGAAGAAACUUUUUUUUUCUUUCAAUAUUUAGUUAAUCAGAAGUCAAUACAUUUACAAGACGUUUGUUUACUGUAUAAGGCAAAAGUAUACAAAAAAUAUAGUAGUUAUUACGAAAUAGAGACUUAUUGCACAGUUUGGUAGGUUGAAUCAAACUUAUUUUGAAAUUUUGAUCACUGGAGAAGUUGUAACACUGAUUCAUGACGGGAAAGUGAAAGCUCCCGCUGAGGUUGGAGCUUUUGUACAGACUACUGAUUUGAAUAGGAGUAACACCAAUUCUGUUCUCCAAAUUCAGAGACCGUGUAAAGCUCUUUCUUCAAACAUUUUCUUAACAUCUUUUCACUACUUCAGUGAUCCAUUCUUAACUUUUUCUCCAUUUUUUGUGUAACCCCAAAAAUUUUUGGGAUGUUACAUUUUGACCUGCAAAUUUGUGGAAUUGAUUGUUUUCUUUAUUUGUGGUUGAGUCAUGUCCCCCAAAUCUUUAGAGAUUUUAUAUCUUUUACUUUAUGGGUAUAGAGGACCAAGAAGCCUAAGGUAUCAUGGAGAGGGGCAAUUUUCACUGGUUUGUGGGUCAUUUGGUUGGAAGGGAAUGUAAGCAUUUCAAGUUGUUUUCAAUUGCUUCACAUGGGUAAAGGAUAUAAAGGUAAAUAACAUUCUUUGUAAUUAAUAGUAAUUUAUUGUCUUUUUUUCCAUCCUAGAAAACCUGUAUAUAUGGAUCGGAAAUAUUCAAUAGAAUACAUAUGAACCAUUCUUAACAAAGUAAAAUCAGAAUUCGUAAUUAGUUUCCUUCGAAAAUUUUGUCUAAUUUUCUUUUAUCUAUAUCUAGCUGUUAUAAACCAAGAAUUAUGAAUAAAUUUCAGAACAAAAGAUUCAAUUCUAAAUCUUCAGGAACAUUUGUUUAUCCAUUCUACAAAGGAACAUUUCUUUAUCUAUAUCAUGUAUUGAUCUGUGUUUCUUUUGGUUCUCUGUUACUCUUUUCCAAGAUGUCUUAGAGGGCAUCCUCUGCUCAUCUUUGUAAUUUUUUGCUUUAUUAAUCUUUAACAAUGCUUCUUCUUUUAUCCAAAAAGAAAGAUUAUCCUUUUAUGUCAUUUUAUCAAUAUAUAUAUAUUUUUGGUUGUAGGUUACAAUUUGGAACAGAAGAACUUUGCUUGUGAAAUUCAUUUGGAAAUUCACACUUAUAUUAAUCAGGAGAGUUGGAAACUCUUUCGAAAUAAAUUCCACGAACAAAGUUCAUUUUUCCAAAUAUAGUAUGUUAAUCAUGGACCCUAAUGUACUUUACUGAAGGCCCUGGACGAGAUUGGCUGAUAAUUUUUAGUGUUAUGUGCAUCUCUCCCCCUUCUCUUGAGUGAUUCAUCUCCUAUUUUCUUCGUGGUUUUGAUAAAGAUCAAGGAGGAAAAGGGCACAUUGAAGGGGAGUUAUUUUUGUUGGUUUAUGAGUGCUUUGCUUGGAGAGAAAUGGCAGACUCUUUAGAGACAAGGAUUUUAGCCCAAUCUCUUCUUGACAUAGAAUGGCUUUUCUAGCCUCAUCGUGGGCUCAAUACACAAAUGGUAUUCUAUUCUUGGAGCUGUUGCUUAAGUAUAAAUAUAUUCCCUCAAUGAUCGAGUUCUUUAACCACCUGUGGUUGUGGUUACAUUUUCAAUCUUGUGAUAGUAGAUAAAUUUUUCUUUUCUUUUUUCUAUCUUUCCAAAUAUGUUGUUACUGUGUUAGAUCAAUAUACAUCAGCGACAGUUCAUCUAUAAACUGGUGUUUAGUGCUUAGUUCAGUGUGCAGUAUUAAUCAUUAUAGGGUCAUUGGUGAUAUAUAACCAUCAUCUAUCUGCAGGAAAACAUCAAGAAGCUGAGGAUAUUAUCAUAGAGAGUUUCAAGAGGAGCUUUGAGCUUGAUACCGUGGCAUAUAAUACCUUUAUCAAGGCAAUGCUAGAAGCAGGUUGAGUGGAUCAUUUCCAAUUUUUUUGGCUACACUUAGGUGCCGGAGGAUGUUAACAAGCUGUAGUCUUGAUUUUGCAGGCAAAUUGCAUUCGGCAGGCAGCAUUUAUGAGCGAAUGCUUUCUUCCGGAGUUUCUUCAUCAAUUCAAACAAUUAACUUAAUGAUCAGGUGCAAAUUUGAAGAAUAGUAAACACUACCCUCCAAAUAGACUAAAUUGGAGGGACAUUAAAUGUGUAAAUGUGUGUAUUAGUUACAUAUAUAUAUAUGUAUCAAUUCUUUUCUGAUGUAUUUGGUCUUUCUUGUCAAUGAAUGCAGUGUUUAUGGACGAGGGCGAAAUCUGGAGAAGGCUGUGGAGAUGUUAAACACUGCUUGCAGUUUAGGCUUGUCUCUGGAUGAGAAGGCAUACAUGAAUAUGAUAACCUUCUACGGGAAGGCUGGUAAGUUUAUUUCUUUAGUCAAGAAAAGUGGAUUUUUGAUAGUUAAAGAUAUUAUGUCUGCCAAGUUUCUAGAUGAGUGUAUAUUUCAAACUCCAAAGCGAUUAGGCUGUUCUCCAAAACUUUCUCCACAUCACAUCUUUCUAGUGAUCAAAAGUAAUAUGGGUGCUUGAAUUAAUUCCAGCCACAGUUAAUGGUAUCAUGAAAAAAAUUAUCAAAUCGUCAAGUCAUCUUACACCGAACCAACAUUAAUUGUUUCUCGUACUGAUUGAUCCUUGAAAGAAGAGUUGAAAUGCUCUGAUUUGUUAUUAAGCUGACUGCUGAUGUACUCAAUAAUUAUUGUCAUGAUGAACAUAUGAAACAUCUAGUUCAAUUUUCAGCAGUAGAUGGUUGAAAAUAUUUAUAACAUAGAUUUUUUUGUUGCAUGAGAUAUGUCAUUUUGUCAUCCUUGAAUCGGUUUGCAGGUAAGAGGCACGAAGCAUCCCUUUUAUUCUCUCAAAUGCAGGAAGAAGGAAUAAAACCUGGGGUGGUAUGUCAUUUAUAAUUGCCUAAAUGCUUGAGAAAAGUCUGUCAAAAAGGUUGCUAAUUUAUUUAUAGCUGAAAUAAACAGCUUUUCUUCACCUUACAGGAAAAUAUUAUGCAUUGACACUAUAUGAAAUGCAGUCUCACUCUACCUCUCUCAAAUAUAGAACUUUAUCCAUAAUCGCUUGGAGCUUCUUUGUUUUUAAUUGCUGAUGUUCUGAUUGCUUCUUUUCUUUUCUGGGAAAAUGCAGGUUAGCUACAAUAUUAUGAUGAAGGUAUAUGCUAGGGCAGGACUCUUUAGUGAAGUUGAGAAACUUUUCCAAGCCAUGCUCAUAGAUGGUUGCUCCCCCAAUUCCGUAACUUACCUUUACCAUGUUCAAGCUUAUGCACUGAGUUUGAAAUAUGAAGAAGCGGAGAAAACCAUAAUUUCCAUGCAGAAAAAGGGCAUUCCUGUUUACUGUGCUCAUUUCAACAUUUUGCUCUCUGCUUUUGCAGAAGCAGGAAUGAUGGCAGAAGCAGAAAGGGUUUAUAACAAACUGUUGAGAGAUGCUUUAAGUCCUGACCUUGCAUGUAUUCGUAGCAUGCUGAGAGGUUACAUGAAUUGUGGAUGUAUUGAAGACGGAAUCUCCUUUUAUGAGCAGAUAAAGGAAUUUGCUGAACUGGAUAGGUUUAUAAUGAGUGUAGCUGUGCACUUUUAUAGGACUGUAGGAAAAGAGCCUGAGGCUGCAGGUCUUUUAAAAUUCAUGAAUUCUUCAGGGAUCCAAUUUUUGAAGAACCUUGAGAUUGGACCUAAGGUAAAAGCCUCCUAGUCUAAAUAAAACUAGUUAACUUGGUUAUUUCAUCACCUGGAAAGAAUAGCAGGUUGCCAAGACAUUAAAUAUGGUUUAUUACUAUAGAAGCCUGAGAUGCAAACUGCCUCGCAGUUGGGGCCAUUGCAGUCAUAGCCAUCCAAGUUGCAUAAAAGCAGCUCUGUGGUCUGAAGAUUCAGACGAAUUGAAGGAAUGACAUGAAAGAGAAUUAAGGAAUGCUCCUUCAGUGGUCGAGGAAAAAACUGUUUAGCAUAUGAUAACUCCAGAAAGUGGCAUGAGAUAUUUGAGGCUUGGAGCAUUUAGCAAUUGAGAUUUUCUUGUCACAUGAAGUGAACUUGGUGUCAUCUGCAACUGUCGGAUGGGUUAGGGAAAUAUUGUAGUAGAUUUUAACUGGAGCCUUAUUUGCUUUGGACUAAUGCAAACUACUCUUUGGACAAACUUGUGGUUUGGGCUACUUCAGGUUCUUGGGAGCUAAAGGUGCAGAAGUCAAGUAGGGGAAUGUAAAUGGUGGAAAUGAUUUUGGUGGAGUGGAGGAGAACCGUUCUGUUUAAGUUGUAAUGCGAGCUCCAUAUUAUCCAAGUUUAUGCGAAUACACAAUAACAUAACUUGUUUUAUUUAUAAUUAUUGUUCUAUCAUAGGACAAGAAUGCAGAACUAUUGGACUAUAAUUGAGAUUUCCAUAAUAUGAAAGCAUGACUAUUAGAAGCACACAAAAAGUGACUUGAUUGACUUCUUUUAGCUAAAAGAAUCUCCAAAUAUCUGCUACUCUUGAGAACCAAUCUUCAUCUCUAUUAUGCAAAUGUCUCCACUUGCUUCUUUGAAUUCUUUCCACUCAUAAUAAGUUUAGGUCUUGAGAAGGUUCGAAGCAACUAAAUUUUUCCACGGCGUAUGACACCAAAAGAUAGUUGCCGAAUAAAUGUCAAUUCAACAACUAAAGUUCUUUUAUAUAUGUAAGAAACUAUUGCUAUUACUGCUAUUAUUUAUAUGUAUAUGAAUUGGUUAUUUAAUAAUUGUAAAUCAUUCCGAAGCUUUCUAGCCCAGAAAAAAAAAAAAUGACUAACCCACCAUAUAAUCCAAUUUGGAUUCACGAAAAACAAAUCUAUCAACGAGUUAAAAAAUCUUCAUAGUUUUUAGGACUAAAAAGUUAAAGUCAUCUUCAUAGAUUCAAAUUCGCGAAAAACAAAUUUAUUAAAGAGUUGAAGAAUUUCUAUACUCUGCUGUAAAUAGUUAAAAAAUUGAAUUCCUCUCUAGGAAUUUAAAUUUUCUUUACAAAUAUCCUUUAAAGAUAUCUCUAAAAAAAAGUUAUAAGGAUUCAACUAUUUAUUCAACUAAUCACUCUUAACUAAAAAUCAACAUUAUUCGAUAUCAAACGAUUUAGUCAACGCAUCAAAACUCAGUCAAAGAGAUCAAAUUAAAAUUUAUUUUUUAUUUUUUAUUAAAAUAUAUUAAUUGAUUAUUUUGUAUAUUUAUUUUAGAAACCAAAUUUAUUGUUACAACCUCCAAAAAUAAUGGUAAAAUGUAACAUAACUCGAUUUAUUUUUUCAUAUAUUUUUUAAAUACAUAUUUAUUGGUAUAAAUCUCAACCAUGUUCUAAUAAUUUACUCUAAAAACACAAUUCUAUAAACACUUGUAAGGCCCAGCCCACCAAAUUGUCCAACGUCUCAAAAACCAUCGCCUCUUGAUCGUCUCCAACGUUCGUAGUCUCUCCCUCCCUCUGCAAGAGAUCAGGAAUGGCGUCGAGUCUCUUCAGAACCCUAAUCAGGUCAUCAAAAUUGCCGUCGACUACUAGAAACCUCUGCCUUGUCCGCACUCAAAUCAUCAGCAAUCACACUGCUAAAUGGAUGCAGGUAUGACAUAGUAUGUCGCCUAUGUAUUUAUUUUCCAUACGUGUUCUUAGCACGGUUAUUUCUUUCUUUAAUUUUUUAGUUCUAUAUCCAAAGGAAGGAUCAGAACUAGAUAAAUUCUUAGGAUCUUGAGGUAUAUAUUUAAAAUUUGGAAAUCAGUACCAGAGCUAUUUUAGGUAGGAGAUUUUUCAUCCAGCUGGAGUAUUAGUUUCUGGAUGUGCUCUUUGGUUAGGAAAAAGUUGAAAUGUUUAGGGUUUAAAUUAUAAGUUAACACGAGUAUUCUUUUCCUGGCUUUAAUUCUUGGGAAGUUUUAUAAGUUCUUUCUUGGUUGCUGUAAAUAAAGUUCAGGCAAGCCAAAUCCUUUUGCUGGUAUUAAUUAAUUCAUCUAUUUAUGAAAACUCAGAGUACACAGCCUUUUUCUUUUCCACAUUUCCUUGCUAUUUUUAUUGCGAGUUUUUGAAACCUGUUAUAAUUGAUGCCUAGAGUUCAAAUGUACAUUCCCCUAUAUUUUUGUAGAGUAAUGGACAAUCUGCAAUUUUUAAUGUCAUUUAUAUUUUCUGAAUCAAGUUCAGUUUAAGUUAAAAAAUCAGAUUCCGCUGGUUGUUCAAAAUGCUGAGGGUGAAUCCAUUUAUAAACAAUCUAUUUGCAGUGGCAUUGAAUUGGGGAAGACAUGUUAAUAAAUAAAGAUUUACAAUGGGCCACUAGGGAAUUACUUCUUUAAUGAUAGAUGAGUAAAUAUUCACAACGCGUUUUUGUCUCCAAUAGAGAAAAAGAUGACGAUGCUCGAAAAAUGAUACCCAUUCAAUUGUGGUUUAUAUGUAGAGAAAUAAUGGUGAACAGAUGCUUCCUUUGCAAGUGCACCGCCGAGAAUUGCAAUCACAUUUUGCUAUGGUGCCCCUAUUCCUACAACCUUUGGACACUUAUUUACAGCUUUAUGGGGAUCAAUUGGGUAAUGGCGAGUUUGGUGAACAACGAAUUAUUGGCUUGAGAAGGCUUCGCUUUUAACAACAAGGUUGUACGUCUUAUCUCUUUGUCCAUUUUUGGGCUAUUUAGAAGGAAAGGAACAAUAGGCCUUUUGAAGGAAGGGAAUAAACUUUUGUAAAUAUCAAAUAUCAAACAUAUCAUGGGAUUGAAAAAAGAAUUUGAUUUGGUUGGACUAUCUAGAAAAAGGCAUUACGGUAAGCCUUGGUAGUGGAAUCCUAAAGGUUACUAAGAGUGUCAUGGCUGUGAUGAAAGGGAAGCGAAUAAAAAUAAUUUGCUCAAGUCAAUUAGGAGUAUGGUUAUAGACGACGCUUUUCUACGGUUUCAUCAGAAUUUGACAUAGAUGACUGUAUAUCCCAGCAUAUGCUUUUGGGGCAUACCAAAGGAAGCUACUGAAGGGGUUUAAACAGUCCAAGGUUGACUUAUGCGAGCAUGGCAUCCUUGGUAAAUAGGAAAGGAUGAGCUUCAAUCUUUCUCACACAAAAGUACGGAUGUGUUAGAAUGCAUACAUACAGAUGCAUAUGAUCUGGCUAAGAUACUAGCAAAAGGUGGAGCCAGAUACUUUGUAAGUAUCAUUAUUUAUUUUUCUAGAAAGGUUGGAUUUACUUCAUGUUGAAAAAAUUAGAAGUAUUCUCAAGGUUUAAACAAUGGAAAGCCGAGCUUGAAUGAGGUUGAAUGAUAAACAAGACAAUAGGCUUUUAUGUCAAGUCCAACAAUGUUGGUGAGUACAAAAGUCAAGAGUUUGAGGACUUCUGCAGGGAAGAAGGGUUUAUCAGUGGUCUGGGUCUAUAAAUGGCAAUGUUUUAACAUCAAGGUCGCUAAAACGGUUCAGUGUUGCUAUUCCCAUUGGUUGAUUGUGACUUUUCUAAAUUAUCACACUCCACUUGCACCAUGUGAUCAUGUAAAUCGGAGGGAACAUCUUCAUGACAUGAAUUUUUCUUUAGCAUUGUGCUCUCAUCAAAAACUACAUCUCUGCCAAUGAUUGUACUCUGUACAUUUGGAUCCUGUGAUCUUUAACCCUUAACUCCUUUCUGGAAACCAAGAAAAGUAUACUUUACAUUACCUUGGCAUCCAACUUAGUGCAUGUUAGGUGCAAGUCAAUAUAUAGAAAGAAAGAGAGAGUGUUAGGGGGAAGAAACGUCACAGUUUCAAACAAGAUUAGUUGCAAACAAGAUUAUCAAAGACACGGAUAGACUAAUGUGGAAUUUUAGAGACAAACUGAAUUGAGUUGUAUAUUGAAGUCUAUACAUGUUGAUAUAUAACUGUUAGAGAUUGACUACAAAGAGAAAGAAUCAGAAGCAUAUUACAAGAAACCAAAUCAAAUCAAAUCCUUAUAUCAGGGAAUCCCCAAUUUCUGGGCAGGUUAGAUAAGCUUCAAAAAAUUGGCUGCCAAAGGUUAAAUUUUUCAACAUUCCCUGUCAAGUUGAUAAAUAUGCAUCUUUCAUUCACAGCUUGCAGAUAAGUUCUUAAGAUGUCACUCAACUGAGUCCUUUCAUUUUGAUAGCACAUUUGCAAAGUUGUAUAUUAGUUGAGACAUACAAUGUACAAGUUAUCCAACGUCACUUUAUGAAGUGUCUAUCUAUUUCAAUGUGGUUUUUUCCUCUCAUGCUGCACAGGAUUAUGAGCAAUGUCAAUGGGAAACUUCUGCUCACAAACUAUCUAAAAUUAUUGAGUCAUAAUAAUUCACGUAUUUCUUGUACCAUCACCCUAAACUCUACCUUUGCACUUGAUCUAGCGAUCACGUUUUGCUCCUUACUCUUCCAGUUUACAAGAUUCCUCCAAGAAAAAUUCACAGAUCGCCUCUCUAAUGGGUUCGGAUAUUUUGUAUGUGUAUAUCUAAAGGGCUAAUCAAGUGUUCCUUUUGAAUAAAACUCCUUUAAUAGAUUGGACUCAGGUAAUAAAGUAUCUUGUAGACUAUAUGAAGGUGAACCUCUUUCAGGCAGUGCAUGAAUUAGCUAACCAUGUUCACGGCAUGCAAUGUUUGGCCUUACAUGGACAUGAUAUAUAUUUUUCCUACCAAUCUCUAAUACAUUUCUAUUUCUACAACUAGAUCUUCAUUUAUCUCUUCUAGUUUGUGAUUUUGCUCAAUCAGUGUGAAAUAAAGUUUACAUGCUAACUUUCCUCUCUCCCUUGUGAGAUAAGUCACAUAUUUCUGUUGUGAAAUAAAGAUUUCUUCUCUGGAAUGAAACUUUUAUUCCUAGAAGGUACUUUAGUCUCCCAUGUUUUUUAAUCUCGAAUCCUUCGAUUAGAAAAUCUUAUCUAGACUUUCCUCUUUCUCAUCAUUUUCUAUCACAAUUAUGUCAUCAAUGUACAUCAAAUGUGUUGUUACUCCUUUUAAAUCCAAGUGCUUUAAUAAAAGUGUCUGAUCUCCCUGACCCUGUCUGUACCCAAUGGCACUAUUUUAGCAAAUCUCGAAAUGAAGUCUUUGGUGAUUGCUUUAGAUCAUACAAUGUUUUCUUCAAUCUACAAACUUUAUUGUCUCUUAGUUUUCCCUUAUUUAAAAAAAAAAUGUCUCUUAGUUUUCCCUUGAAGCCCGGGAAAAUAUCCAUGAAGAUCUCUUCCUCCAAGCUGUAGGUUUGUGCAUGUUACCUUGCCACGAGCCUGGCCUUAUAUUUCUCUAGGAAACCAUCUAAUGUGCACUUACUUGUACUAGAACUGUCAAAUUGAGUGGUGGGCAACCUGGACUACAACAUUCCUCCCUCUCUUCCUGCAAAGGACCUCCUUACCUCUUCCUCCUCUACCUGUCUAUAAUCAGAUCCGCUCUCUCUUUCCAUCCCGUGCUAAGAUAAUUUUUGCACUCCAGAUUUCUGAACAGAUGUUUGAGCGGUGUUGUGGUAUUCCUUUCCAUUUUUAUUUAUUUUCUGAUUUCCUAGGUCUGCUCUUGUCUAUAAAUAUUCCCUUCUUCCCACAGUUAAACACUUAAUAUUGUACUAGUGCCAAGUCUGAGCAAAGAAAAUGAGCUACAAGAAGUUUUCAUUUUUGGAACUCUUGAUUGUCAUGCUUCUGCGAACUUUUGAUGUUGUAGUAGCUAGCCUCCAAUAGCAGUAAAGGAGAUGUCUUUUAAGUAAAUAUUUUUUUGUUUCCUUCGUAUUGUUUAGCUGUAUAAGAUCAAAGAUAAACAAAUGGGAUGGUUAAUUAUUUUGUUAUAUAUUGUUUUUUGGUGCCGAUAAGUUUUUGGUGUUGGUCGCUGCUGCUAUCUUGUCUUCUAAAGGAAAGAAUAUUCAUCAAAUACCUAGUGCUCUAUGAAUAUUUGAAGGUUCAAAUUUUGGGGGUCUUAAGUUGCAGUUAGUCAUGAACUAACUCUCAUUAGACUGUGACAAGUUUUGAGAAAAACCCAAAUGCUGGUCUUCAAUGCUCAAAGUUCUUUAAACAACUCCAUUCUCCCAUUUAUUAAGAGAGUCUGCCAAUUGGAAUAGGAUUUCAGAGAGUGUAAAGGGAUGUUUAUGGGCCUGCUGCAAGUGGAGAAAGAAGAGGGAAACAAACAUAGAAGANNN